UCGGUCACGGUUAGAGCUAUGCUAAGUUGUUGCAGUUAAAAAGCUCGUAGUUGAAUUUCUGGCAUGGGCGACCGGUGCUUUCCCUGAAUGGGGAUUGAUUGUCUGUGUUGCCUUGGCCAUCUUUCUCUUUUCUUUGGGAGAAAUCUUUCACUGUAAUCAAAGCAAAGUGUUCCAAGCAGGUCGUAUGACCGGUAUGUUUAUUAUGGGAUGAUAAGAUAGGACUUGGGUGCUAUUUUUUGGUUUGCACGCCUGAGUAAUGGUUAAUAGGAACAGUUGGGGGUAUUCGUAUUUAGGAGCUAGAGGUGAAAUUCUUGGAUUUCCGAAAGACAAACUAAAGCGAAGGCAUUUACCAAGCAUGUUUUCAUUAAUCAAGAACGAAAGUCUGGGGAUCGAAAAUGAUUAAAUACCAUCGUAGUCUAAACCGUAAACGAUGCCAACUUGCGAUUGUUGGGUGCUUUUUUAUGGGCCCCACCACCCCCCCAUGAAAAAACAAAAUCUUUGGGUUCCCGGGGGAGAAUGGGCCCAAGGGUUAAACUUUAAGGAAUUUACGGAAGGGGCCCCCCCGGGGGGGGGCCCGGGGCUUAAUUUUACUCAACACGGGGAAUCCCCAAAAC
RNAcentral lists this ribosomal RNA (614 nucleotides) under Thraustochytrium sp. Its description in RNAcentral is "partial small subunit ribosomal RNA". It matches the Rfam family "Eukaryotic small subunit ribosomal RNA", at positions 584 to 1224 of the family's 1831-position model. Lineage: Eukaryota; Bigyra; Thraustochytrida; Thraustochytriidae. The record is from RNAcentral.